Molecule: ribosomal RNA, 254 nt
Filed under: uncultured bacterium
Lineage: Bacteria
Description: partial 16S ribosomal RNA
Rfam family: Bacterial small subunit ribosomal RNA
Source: RNAcentral
UACAGAGGGUGCAAGCGUUAAUCAGAAUGACUGGGCGUAAAGGGCGUGUAGGUGGUUAACUAGGUUUGAUGUAAAAUCCCCGGACUUAAUCUGGGAAGGUCGUCGAAAACGGGUUUAACUAGAGUGAGAUAGAGGGUUGCGGAAUUUCCGGUGUAGCGGUGAAAUGCGUAGAUAUCGGAAAGAACAUCAGUGGCGAAGGCGGCAACCUGGGUCUUAACUGACACUGAGGCGCGAAGGCGUGGGGAGCAAACAGG